RNAcentral lists this ribosomal RNA (468 nucleotides) under uncultured bacterium. RNAcentral's name for it is "partial 16S ribosomal RNA". It matches the Rfam family "Bacterial small subunit ribosomal RNA", at positions 28 to 507 of the family's 1533-position model. The record is from RNAcentral.
GACGAACGCUGGCGGCGGGCUUAACACAUGCAAGUCGAACGGAAAGGGCCUGCUUUUGUGGGGUGCUCGAGUGGCGAACGGGUGAGUAACACGUGAGUAACCUGCCCUGGACUUUGGGAUAACUGCAGGAAACUGGGGCUAAUACCGGAUAGGUGAUGCAGCUGGAUGGUGGGGGUUGGAAAGUUUCGGCGGUGGGGGACGGACGCGCGGGUUAUCAGCUUGUGGGUGGGGGAGUGGCCUACGAACGCUUUGAUGGGUGGUCGGCCGGAGAGGUUGACCGGCCUCAUUGGUACUAAGAUACGGCCCAGUCUCCUACAGUAGACAGCAGUGGGGAAUAUUGCCCAAUGGUCCGAAGCCUGAUACGACAACGCCCCGUGCGUGAUGACGUCUUUCGGGUUGUAAACCGCUUUCGCCUGUGACGAAGCUUGAGUGACGUUAAUGGGUAAAGAAGCACCGGCUAACUACGUG